This is a small nucleolar RNA of Ornithorhynchus anatinus (platypus), 138 nucleotides long. The record is from RefSeq and is a predicted model, not a curated record. NCBI's taxonomy places the organism in Eukaryota, Metazoa, Chordata, Mammalia, Monotremata, Ornithorhynchidae.
CCCCUCUCAGGAUGGUACCUGGAGAGUUUCCCGUCCUCUACCAGUCUCGGCUACGGGAGGGAGAGCCCAGCAGAAGCAUAUCCAUUCCAUUUCUAGCUCGGGCAGUGGCUAGCGAGUGGCAGGCAAUCUGCUACAAGU